This is a non-coding RNA of Schistosoma haematobium, 73 nucleotides long. The record is from Rfam. NCBI's taxonomy places the organism in Eukaryota, Metazoa, Platyhelminthes, Trematoda, Strigeidida, Schistosomatidae.
GCCUCCAUAGCUCAGUGGAUAGAGCACUGGUCUAGUAAACCAGAGGUCGGGAGUUCGAUCCUCCCUGGAGGCA